RNAcentral lists this transfer RNA (73 nucleotides) under Candidatus Omnitrophota bacterium. RNAcentral's name for it is "Candidatus Omnitrophica bacterium (sediment metagenome) tRNA-Ala". It matches the Rfam family "tRNA". From Rfam's summary of the family: Transfer RNA (tRNA) molecules are approximately 80 nucleotides in length. Their secondary structure includes four short double-helical elements and three loops (D, anti-codon, and T loops). The record is from RNAcentral. Lineage: Bacteria; Pseudomonadati; Candidatus Omnitrophota.
GGGGCUGUAGCUCAGCUGGGAGAGCGAUUGCAUGGCAUGCAAUAGGCCAGGGGUUCGAUCCCCCUCAGCUCCA